UAGGGAAUAUUGGGCAAUGGAUGCAAGUCUGACCCAGCCAUGCCGCGUGCAGGAAGAAGGUCCUCUGGAUUGUAAACUGCUUUUUUGGGGGAAGAAUAGUUUUCUUGCGAGGAAAUGUGACGGUACCCUAAGAAUAAGCCACGGCUAACUACGUGCC
This 157-nucleotide ribosomal RNA is filed under the name uncultured bacterium. RNAcentral's name for it is "partial 16S ribosomal RNA". It matches the Rfam family "Bacterial small subunit ribosomal RNA", at positions 355 to 509 of the family's 1533-position model. The record is from RNAcentral.